GUGCUCACUUCGGCAGCACAUAUACUAAAAAUUGGAAUGAUACAAUGAAGAUUAGCAUGGCCCCUACACAAGUAUGACAUGCAAAUUUGUGAACUGUUCCAAAUUAAA
Molecule: small nuclear RNA, 108 nt
Organism: Cynocephalus volans (Philippine flying lemur)
Lineage: Eukaryota; Metazoa; Chordata; Mammalia; Dermoptera; Cynocephalidae
Source: RefSeq, a predicted model, not a curated record